GGGGGUGUAGCUCAGCUGGAAGAGCGCUUCGGUCGCAUCGAAGAAGUCGAGGGUUCGAGUCCCUUCACCUCCA
Molecule: transfer RNA, 73 nt
Filed under: Acidiferrimicrobium australe
Lineage: Bacteria; Bacillati; Actinomycetota; Acidimicrobiia; Acidimicrobiales; Acidimicrobiaceae
Description: Acidimicrobiaceae bacterium USS-CCA1 tRNA-Ala
Rfam family: tRNA
About the family: Transfer RNA (tRNA) molecules are approximately 80 nucleotides in length.
Source: RNAcentral